GGACCCGUAGCUCAGUUUGGUUAGAGCGUUUCCUUGACAUGGAAAAGGCCACAAGUUCAAGUCUUGUCGGGUCCA
RNAcentral lists this transfer RNA (75 nucleotides) under Candidatus Omnitrophota bacterium. RNAcentral's name for it is "Candidatus Omnitrophica bacterium (groundwater metagenome) tRNA-Val". It matches the Rfam family "tRNA". From Rfam's summary of the family: Transfer RNA (tRNA) molecules are approximately 80 nucleotides in length. Their secondary structure includes four short double-helical elements and three loops (D, anti-codon, and T loops). The record is from RNAcentral. Lineage: Bacteria; Pseudomonadati; Candidatus Omnitrophota.